UUUCCGUAGGUGAACCUGCGGAAGGAUCAUUGUCGAAACCUGCCUAGCAGAACGACCCGAGAACAUGUUUCAACUCUCGGGGGCAAGGGGUCUCACGGUUCCUUGCCCCUUAACCUAGGAGGCGGACGAUCGGUUGGCUUUGGCACUUCCGAUAUGCCGUCCUUCUGGGCGUAACCGAACACCGGCGUGAAUUGCGCCAAGGAACUUGAAUGAAAGAGCGUUCCCCCGCCGUCCCGGAGAGGUGACUGUGCGGGUGGUUUGUCAUCUUCAGUAUGUCUAAACGACUCUCGGCAACGGAUAUCUCGGCUCUC
Molecule: unclassified non-coding RNA, 311 nt
Filed under: root metagenome
Description: partial contains small subunit ribosomal RNA, internal transcribed spacer 1, and 5.8S ribosomal RNA
Source: RNAcentral